This 506-nucleotide ribosomal RNA is filed under the name uncultured bacterium. Its description in RNAcentral is "bacterial SSU rRNA". It matches the Rfam family "Bacterial small subunit ribosomal RNA", at positions 21 to 518 of the family's 1533-position model. The record is from RNAcentral.
GGCUCAGGAUGAACGCUAGCUACAGGCUUAACACAUGCAAGUCGAGGGGCAGCAUGAAGUUGCUUGCAAACUUGAUGGCGACCGGCGCACGGGUGAGUAACGCGUAUCCAACCUUCCCCUUAGUAGGGCAUAGCCCGAUGAAAAUCGGAUUAAUACCCUAUGUUUUCCAAUGAGGACAUCUGAGCUGGAACAAAGAUUCAUCGCUAAGGGAUGGGGAUGCGUCCGAUUAGGUAGUCGGCGGGGUAACGGCCCACCGAGCCAUCGAUCGGUAGGGGUUCUGAGAGGAAGGUCCCCCACAUUGGAACUGAGACACGGUCCAAACUCCUACGGGAGGCAGCAGUGAGGAAUAUUGGUCAAUGGGCGAGAGCCUGAACCAGCCAAGUAGCGUGCAGGAUGACGGCCCUAUGGGUUGUAAACUGCUUCUAUGCGGGGAUAAAGUGCGCCACGUGUGGUGUUUUGUAGGUACCGCAUGAAUAAGGACCGGCUAAUUCCGUGCCAGCAGCAGC